UACGACUACAUAUCAGGCAUAUCAAUAAGCGGAGGAAAAGAAACUAACAAGGAUCCCCUUAGUAACGGCGAGUGAAGCGGGAAGAGCUCAAAUUUGAAAUCUUCAAGGUUCUACCUUGACGAAUUGUAGUUUAAAGAAGUGUUUUCUGUUGGAGUUUUGGUAAAAGUUCUUUGGAAUAGGACAUCAUAGAGGGUGAGAAUCCCGUAUUUGACCAUUACUUCCAGCGUUGUGAUACACUUUCAAAGAGUCGGAUUGUUUGGGAAUGCAGUCCAAAAUGGGUGGUAAAUUUCAUCUAAAGCUAAAUAUUGGCGAGAGACCGAUAGCGAACAAGUACCGUGAGGGAAAGAUGAAAAGAACUUUGAAAAGAGAGUUAAACAGUACGUGAAAUUGUCAAAAGGGAAGCGUUUGACACCAGUGUUGUUUUCUCGAAAAUCAAUUAAAAAGUAUGGGAUUUUGUAUUGUUAAGACCUUAUCAGCUUACGGUACUUUUUUCUUAUUCUUUUUAAUGCACUUUUCGUUUAACAAGUCAACAUCAAUUUCUUUUGUUGUAAAAGAGUCAUUGGAAGGUGGCUUUUUCUUCGGAAAAAAGUGUUUAUAGCCUUUGGCUUCUGCAAUCGGAGAGACUGAGGUCUGCAGCGUAGAUCCUUCUUGGAUUAGAUUCAUUUGUGCUAAGUUAUAGCUUUUUAUAGACAACUUGUUGACUAUAUUUAGUCUUGUAGCUUACUCGCUUAUGCUAAUUUUACCUACGCUUAGGAUGUUGAAUCUGUGCGAGACUAC
RNAcentral lists this ribosomal RNA (777 nucleotides) under uncultured Neocallimastigales. Its description in RNAcentral is "partial large subunit ribosomal RNA". It matches the Rfam family "Eukaryotic large subunit ribosomal RNA", at positions 24 to 644 of the family's 3401-position model. Lineage: Eukaryota; Fungi; Neocallimastigomycota; Neocallimastigomycetes; Neocallimastigales. The record is from RNAcentral.